Long non-coding RNA from Cercocebus atys (sooty mangabey), 1644 nucleotides. RefSeq lists it as uncharacterized. The transcript is spliced from 3 exons. Lineage: Eukaryota; Metazoa; Chordata; Mammalia; Primates; Cercopithecidae. The record is from RefSeq and is a predicted model, not a curated record.
GAGGCUGUACCGGGGUGCACAGUGAGGUCAACUUCCCCCUUCCCGGGCCUGAACCCUGACACAGGGGUGUGCACCCUAUGGCCAAGCUGGAUGUGUCUCCCGCUGUCCGCCUAUCUGUCUGCUGGGCCCUGGCCCACCGUGGGCUCUGGGCCUCUGCUGGGCUCCCCUGGCACCCAUGGGGCCUGAGUUCUCAUCAACAACCUGCUUCAAGGGCUAUUUAAAGCAAGUGGUGGCCGUGGGAAACUUCUUCAGAUGUGUGGUUUCAUCUCCUUCAGCACAGGGACGGGGUGUCUGCUCGCUCUGGUGACUCAUCCAGAGUGAGAAAAGCCUUUUUGUUGUUUGAUGCUCACUGGAGGCUCUGUAGCCUGAGAACCUGGCCUGAUGGGGCCUUCCCUGCUGGGACUCCUGGGAGGCCUUGGGAGUGCCCAGGGCAGCCCUUUUGUUCCAUCCCCAGACCCAGGGAGCCUGGGGCCAAUGGAGCCCCUGAGGCUGAAAUACUCUGCUUAGGGUGAGGCUGCUUGACUGGUGGGGGGCGGGGGGUGCCCAUUCUCAACACCCAGCUCAGCCACCGCCUCCUCCAAGAAGCCUCCCUGAUUCCUCCAAAACCUCAAUCGAUCUCCACCUUAGCGACUCAGUCCUCUAACCCUCAGUCUUCUUAUCUAUGAAAUGGAGUAGUGGGCCCAAGCUUUACAGAUCUGUGUGAAGAUGAACUGCGGAACACACAGCAGAUGCUCAGUAGGUCUUAUCCUGCCUGUGAGCAGAGUCUGCUGCUAUCCCGGUUCCACAGACAAGGACACGGGGGCUCAAAGAAGGCUGGGAAUGUGGAAGCCUGGGGAUUUGGAAGUCGGCAGGAGCUCCAGCUGCAGGCUGCCAUCAUUUGGGUGCGUUCUUUAUUACUACAGAGCGAUGCUGCAGAGAAACAGGACAUGAGGAUUGGAGAUGGCUGGUCCUGAGCAGACCUUUCAGGGCCUCAGUUUCCUCACCUGUGAAACUGGACACUUGGCCUCCACCAUCCCCCAAGGUUCUCCCAGUUCAGUGGUUCUACAAGAGGAGUGAUGAUAGGUGGCCAAAGGGAGGGGAGCGGGUGGCCAGGACAGGCUGCCCUUUGCUGAGGCCUUUGUGACUCUGUUACCCCAAAUGGAAGCCAGAGAGUAGAAUGACUUAGCCAAGGUCACACAGCAACUCAGUGGGGGAUUGGGGAGGGGAACUCUGCUUGACUGGGCGGGGCAGAACCUGGAGGCUCAGGCAUGUUGGGAAGGAUGGGAGACUGCGGCUGAGCACCCUCACUCCCAGCCCAUCUUCUGAAACACAGACGCGGGGAGAACCAUCUCCACCAAGGCCAGAGCUGCCUGUCUCCAAGCUGAAAGUCAGAAAUUCACUGAAAACUUGAGGUCCUGCUCUGCCCAUUUCCAAAUUUCUGCCCUGGCCCCAGAAUCAUAGGCAUCCCCCCAUUGUACAGAGUGGAAAGCUGAGGCGCAGCAAGGGCAUGGGACUUGUCCAAGGCCUCCCAGGGAGGCCACGCUAAAGCAGGGGCUAGCAUCCUGACUCGUGGUUCUCCGCCCAGUAGCCCCCACCAUGGUCACCAAAUAAUAUUCAUAAUCAUAAUAAUAAUAACAGGCCAGGCACAGUGGCUCACACCUGGGA